Molecule: ribosomal RNA, 497 nt
Filed under: uncultured bacterium
Lineage: Bacteria
Description: partial 16S ribosomal RNA
Rfam family: Bacterial small subunit ribosomal RNA
Source: RNAcentral
GAUGAACGCUGGCGGCGUGCCUAAUACAUGCAAGUCGAGCGAACAGACGAGGAGCUUGCUCCUCUGACGUUAGCGGCGGACGGGUGAGUAACACGUGGAUAACCUACCUAUAAGACUGGGAUCACUUCGGGAAACCGGAGCUAAUACCGGAUAAUAUAUUGAACCGCAUGGUUCAAUAGUGAAUGACGGUUUUGCUGUCACUUAUAGAUGGAUCCGCGCCGCAUUAGCUAGUUGGUAAGGUAACGGCUUACCAAGGCAACGAUGCGUAGCCGAACUGAGAGGGUGAUCGGCCACACUGGAACUGAGACACGGUCCAGACUCCUACGGGAGGCAGCAGUAGGGAAUCUUCCGCAAUGGGCGAAAGCCUGACGGAGCAACGCCGCGUGAGUGAUGAAGGUCUUCGGAUCGUAAAACUCUGUUAUUAGGGAAGAACAAAUGUGUAAGUAACUAUGCACGUCUUGACGGUACCUAAUCAGAAAGCCACGGCUAACUACGUG